Molecule: small RNA, 413 nt
Filed under: Pan troglodytes (chimpanzee)
Lineage: Eukaryota; Metazoa; Chordata; Mammalia; Primates; Hominidae
Description: retained intron
Source: RNAcentral
CCCACGGUAGAAGAGACGGGGGUUUUGAAGCCGUGUGGCUGUGUGACAUUUCACCUUCAUUUGUUCACUGCCUGAAUGUGAAUGUAAUUUUGGCUGGGUUCUAUAAACCCCAGGCUUGGAAUGAUUCAGAUUUUGGAGAAUUUGCUGUCCUCAAAUCCCAAGUAAUUUUCUUCUCUCCCUUAGGCACUAUGUCGUCCGAGGCCCAGAGAUGACCCCUUAUGAAGGUGGCUAUUAUCAUGGAAAACUAAUUUUUCCCAGAGAAUUUCCUUUCAAACCUCCCAGUAUCUAUAUGAUCACUCCCAACGGGAGGUUUAAGUGCAACACCAGGUAAGGUGCCUGGAGGGGCCGCGGAGGUUUUCUGGCUGCGGUGGGGAGUGUGCACUGACGGGGCCCCCGUUUCGCAGGCUGUGUCU